Molecule: ribosomal RNA, 457 nt
Filed under: uncultured Glomus
Lineage: Eukaryota; Fungi; Glomeromycota; Glomeromycetes; Glomerales; Glomeraceae
Description: SSU rRNA
Rfam family: Eukaryotic small subunit ribosomal RNA
Source: RNAcentral
AGCAGCCGCGGUAAUUCCAGCUCCAAUAGCGUAUAUUAAAGUUGUUGCAGUUAAAAAGCUCGUAGUUGAAUUUCGGGAUCAAUUUAUUGGUCGUGCUAUUGUACGUACUGGUAUUAUUGAUUCCUACCUUCUGACGAACCAUGAUGUCAUUAAUUUGGUGUCAUGGGGAAUCAGGACUGUUACUUUGAAAAAAUUAGAGUGUUUAAAGCAGGCUCACGCUUGAAUACAUUAGCAUGGAAUAACGAAAUAGGACGUUUGAUUCUAUUUUGUUGGUUUCUAGGAUCGACGUAAUGAUUAAUAGGGAUAGUUGGGGGCAUUAGUAUUCAAUUGUCAGAGGUGAAAUUCUUGGAUUUAUUGAAGACUAACUACUGCGAAAGCAUUUGCCAAGGAUGUUUUCAUUAAUCAAGAACGAAAGUUAGGGGAUCGAAGACGAUCAGAUACCGUCGUAGUCUUAACC